GCAUUGGUGGUUCACUGGUAGAAUUCUCGCCUGCCAGGCGGGAGAACCGAGUUCGAUUCCGGGCCAAUGCA
This 71-nucleotide transfer RNA is filed under the name Danio rerio (zebrafish). It matches the Rfam family "tRNA". Rfam says of the family: Transfer RNA (tRNA) molecules are approximately 80 nucleotides in length. Their secondary structure includes four short double-helical elements and three loops (D, anti-codon, and T loops). The record is from Rfam by way of RNAcentral. Lineage: Eukaryota; Metazoa; Chordata; Actinopteri; Cypriniformes; Danionidae.